ACCUGUGUGCUCAGAUAUGAUACCUUCAGCCCUUUGAGAGGAAGGGUGUGGGCUGAGACCUGGGCCAAAAGAGCCUUCAGGAUGGUGGAUUCUUCCCAGAAGCUGCCUCUUGUGUUUCCUGCAGGUGCCCUAAAAACAAUAUUUUCUAUGCGUUCUAUGAUGUGAAGAAGGUGGGGAUGCAACGCCAGUUCCAACAAGCAGGUCUGCGCUGUAAGAACCACAAUCUGGCUUUCUACUAAGAAACCACAGUGUUGCAACAAAUAGGCCCAGUUACCCAAAGCACCUGAUAGUGGUUUGUCAGAAUGGCCCAGAGGCUUCUCUGCUCAGGCAUUAAGCAUUUGGAGACGGAAAUCUCGGCUCCAGUUUCCCUCUGCAGUGGGACUUAGUUCAUCUCAGCCUGAGUUGGUUUCUGCAGCAGCCCAACUCUGUCAAGCUCAAAGUUAAGAAAUUCUGUUAUGCAGUGGCAACAGAGGAGUGGAGGAAUUAAAAAAUAAGAAUCUUGUUCUAUGACCUUCCAGUUAUUAUUGUUUAAUUAUUAUUUUUAUGAGUUUAUAAGUUAUUUUAAGUCAUUUCUUUGUCCUUUCUCAAAAUGUAACAAAAAUUGUCAGCCAUUUUUCCUAAUUGCCUGUAAAUGACAGGCUAUGUCAAGUGAAUGAAAAUUUGAAUUUCUGUUGAGUCAACUGGUCCUUGAGUCACCAUUGUAGUGUUGGACACCGCCUAGUCAAGCUCAGCCUGAAGUAGAAAAUAAAGACCUGCUGGAUUUCUUAUUCUUUUUUUCAAAUCUUCAGAAUUCCUACUACUGAUGAACCUUCCAGGAAAAAAAUGCUUCUGCUGGAAACUUACCCGCCUCCUAAAGACGCUGCUCACCACUACUACUGAAGAGACACACUUGUCAGCCCACAGUUACCUGAAGAUCAUGCACUCUCCAGGUUAGAAGGGACUUUUGAGUACUUAAUAUAGCGAUUCCUAAACCUGGCUUCUCAUCAGAAUUACCCAUGGAGGUUAAAACAAACAAGCAAGAAGAUUCCUCUCUAUCAUGGCCUUCUGAAUAAAAAGCCUCAGAGAAUGGAAAAGUCUUAAGAUUGGUAACACCCAGUGUUGCAGAGAAUAUGAAGAAACAAGUGCUCUAAUACCGUUGGUGAGUUUAUGAAUGGCUACACUGUUUUGGAUGGCAAUUUAAGUUACUACCAGUAUUUUUAAAAGCAUACAUCCAGAAAUUUCCUUCUAGGAACUCCAUGGAAAAAUAUAUAUGAUAUUCACAGCAACAUUUGUGAGCUGGAAAUGAGAAAUAUUAAAAUAUGUAUCAAGAGACAUAAAAGUAAAAGGUAUUGCCUGAACAAUUAUUCUUAUAUGCAUAUUUCUACAAUUUAACCACUGUAUGUUUUCUACAGUAUGUUCUGUAGCAGAAAAAAAGAUAUUCUACAGC
RNAcentral lists this long non-coding RNA (1426 nucleotides) under Equus asinus (donkey). RNAcentral's name for it is "lncRNA (ENSEASG00005028398.1)". The record is from RNAcentral. Lineage: Eukaryota; Metazoa; Chordata; Mammalia; Perissodactyla; Equidae.